AUGACGAAGGAUGGCCAUGGUUCAUAAUCAGAGUUAAGUAGUCAUUUUCAAAAUUAAACACCAAAGACUGGGCGGCCAUUGGGUUCCACAAUGGCCGCUUUAAGACCUCUACAAGCCGAUGAAAGAAAGUAGUUAAAAUGAUUGAUAUUGCAAAAGAAGAUUAAUGCAAUCAGAAUCCAUUGCAAGGCUGUCGGUGGUAACUCGCAAGCUCAAUGCAUAUCAUUCUAUAAUUUUGUCAAUAAAAGGACUCGAUCAAGGUAGAAAGAAAGUGUGCAUCAAUCCAUCUAGGAGAUGCCACAGAAAUUAAAAUCGGUAGGCCAUUAUGGGUCCAUAUGUAAGGAGUGGGAGCAUGAUUUUUUAAAAAAAUUUGCCUC
Molecule: long non-coding RNA, 374 nt
Filed under: Phoenix dactylifera (date palm)
Lineage: Eukaryota; Viridiplantae; Streptophyta; Magnoliopsida; Arecales; Arecaceae
Description: long non-coding RNA (PDAC_LNC003378)
Source: RNAcentral